UACGGAGGGGGCUAGUGUUGUUCGGAUUUACUGGGCGUAAAGCGUACGUAGGCGGCUUUGUAAGUUAGAGGUGAAAGCCCAGAGCUCAACUUUGGAAUAGCCUUUAAGACUGCAUCGCUUGAACGUCGGAGAGGUGAGUGGAAUUCCGAGUGUAGAGGUGAAAUUCGUAGAUAUUCGGAAGAACACCAGUGGCGAAGGCGACUCACUGGACGACUGUUGACGCUGAGGUACGAAAGCGUGGGGAGCAAACAGG
This 253-nucleotide ribosomal RNA is filed under the name uncultured bacterium. Its description in RNAcentral is "partial 16S ribosomal RNA". It matches the Rfam family "Bacterial small subunit ribosomal RNA", at positions 524 to 776 of the family's 1533-position model. The record is from RNAcentral.